Molecule: long non-coding RNA, 1561 nt
Organism: Sinocyclocheilus anshuiensis
Lineage: Eukaryota; Metazoa; Chordata; Actinopteri; Cypriniformes; Cyprinidae
Exons: 2
Source: RefSeq, a predicted model, not a curated record
UGUGUGUGUGUGAGUGUAUUUGUUUUGUCUAUACUUGUGUGGACCAAAUGUCUUUACUUCUAUUGUGAAAUUUUCAAUUAAAUUCAGUUUUAUUUAUAAAGCACAUUUAAAAUCAACCUUAGUUGGCCAAAGUGCUGUACGAAACAAUUAAGUAACAAUUAAAUCGGAGAGAUAUUUAGGAGCCAAGUCGUUGAGAGCUUUGUAAACAAAUACCAGAAUUUUGUAGUCAUUUCGAUAUAUAAGUGGCAGCCAAUGCAAAGAACGUAAGAUUGGUGUGAUAUGGUCUCGCGAGAUACGCUGCAAGCACAUAAUUGAUCCCAGAAGUAACAUAUAUAAUGACAAUAAUAAUGGUGCUAAAACCGAUCCCUGGGGUACACCACAAGUAAUUUGAGUCACCGAGGAUGAAUGGACACCGAAACUGCCAGAAAAACUUCUAUUUGACAGAAAAGAUUGGAAGCAUUUCAAAACUGUACCUGAGAUACCGAUCGAGCAUUCAAGUCGAGAUAAAAGAAUCCUGUGAUCCACGAAGUCAAAAGCUCAGCUCAAAUCUAACAGCACUAAGGCCAUGGUAUCACCAGCGUCUGUGGUCAAUAAAAUAUCUUUGAAAACUUUUAAAAGAGCAGACUCCGUGCUAUGAAGGGUUUUAAAGAUGAACUGAAAAAUGUCGGAGAUUGAAUUGAUUUGCAGGUAAUUCUCCAACUGUAUAAAAACAGCUUUUUUUUAGAAUUUUGGAUAGGAAUGGUAAAUUAGAGAUGGGUCUAGUAGUUUGCAUAUAUUGUGGCGUCAAGCGAGGGUUUUCACAAGCAGGCUGGAACCGUCCCAGUCAAAAGACAAUUAUUAAUAAUGUGUAGAAUGUCCACACCGACUGUAUCGAAAAUCUGUUUUAGAAAACGGGAAGGAAGAAUGACAUGAGGAGAAAAAGUAGGUUUCAAUUUUAAAGUGAUUUCUCUUAAUGUCUGAAAUUCAUUCCACUGUGAACAGGAGAAGGAGGAAUCAAGUACAGGCUGUAUUGAGAAGAGCGUUCUAGAACAAUUUGAGUUUUUCACAAUGAUAUCAGUGAAAAUGUAUGCCCUAACAGCCUUUUGGAAAUUAAGUAGGGAAACAUUCAGCAUUUCAAAUGAUACUUGGAGCCUAUCUUUUUCCAUUUACGUUCAAGCCGUCUGCAUUGCUGUCGUAAUAAUCGGAUAUUGUUGUUGAUCCAAGGCUGAGACUUGUUUCGGGGAUAGACAAGCUUCCGAGGUGCAAAAAAGUCCAAAAUGUCAGAGCAUUUGUAAGAUUGUAUCUGCUCAUCAACAUCUAGAUGUGAUGUAACAGAAUCAGAAAUAAGCUGAUUUUCAGUCGCCAAAUACAGUUCAGAGAAGACAUGAUUGGAGUGCGAGGUCAGAAUACGUAAGGUUUUAGGUGGAGCCGGAAGGAGUGUAGAGCAGAGCACCGGCCUGUGAUCAGAAAGUGGAACAUCACAGAUGUCAAUGUCAGCUACAGACAGCCCAUAUGUCAAUAUUAAAUCAAGCGGAUGACCGUGAGAGUAUGUAGGACCAUUCACCCACUGAACAACAUCCAU